UUCCCUGCUAUUCGGCGUUGAUCUACGGGCAGGUAGCCCAGAGGGAGGGUGACAUGGGGCCCACCUCUCUCUCGGAGUGCGGACUUCACUCACCAGGCAUUUCCUCCCGAGGCAACUGAACAGCGCUUCGUUCUCCUGCGGGGUCAGCAGCAUCGAGCCGACAUUGUUGGCCCGGGGCCGGUUGCUGCUCUGCUGGUUGGAAAUCAUUCUGGACUCUCGCGGUCGGUCGGUCGCUCCCUCUCCGGCCUGUGUGCCGCCUCUCAGCUGCGGCGCAUUGCGGACGGUCGAGCGAGAGCAGGCGGGUCCUCUUCCAGGGCAGUGCCGUUCCCUGCGCGCGCGGGCGGGGGGAGGCGAGUUAUUGGUGGGGAGGGGGACUCGGGCGCAGCCGCUGUCUGUCUCACUCGCUCGCGCCCCAGUUCAAACUUGUCCCUCAACUUUCAGCCCAACGGAAACCAACAUGGCUCCCGGAGUACACCAUCCGAUACACCCCGCCUCCUCCCUCCCCGGAGGGAAGCUGCAAAAUGCAAUUCCAUCUCGACGCGCCGCCCAUCGCAAACGACGCCUUCCCCUCAUCCCUCCCGAAGCGGAGUUCGAACCCGAGUCCCUCCGCCGCCCCGCUCGGAGCGAGGGAAAGCUGCAAGGCAUGGCGUCGGCGGUUCCGCACCAAGUUGCGGAUGGCCUCGACCUGCUUGACGCACCGGGGACAGACUUCAUUCAUUUUAAACGGGUGGACUUUCAGCGCUCAGGGAAUCCAGAAGUUCUCGUAGAUAUGGGUGGUGCUGAAGUUGGAUGUCCUCUUCCCAUGGGAUCAACAGAGAUGGCCACAACACCAGACCCUGCACACCUGGUCCAUGGUUGCACCAGGUUAUUGCAGUCUCCAUGAUUCGAAAAUACAGUGGCUACAGGAUGCCGCCACACUCGCAGCUGCCAGAGCUGUCACUGAGGCCGCAACACCAAGGAGGAAACAUGCUGAAGCAAUCCCUGCUGCUGACUGGAGCCAGAAUGCUACCUCUGUCAAAAGCUGUUCUUGAGGCCACAACACCAAGAAUGAAGCUCCUGCCACUGCUGACUGGACCCAGAAUAUCUCCUUUGCCAAAAUGACCUUAUCACAGCCGAUACUUCAGCCGUCACUAUACCCAGGAGAUUGUCCCAACUCUCACCUUUUAAGAAACAAUUGUCUGUCUCACUUAACUCCCAAGGAUCAAGAGACCUUCAUGAUGCUGCAGACAUUGCCAAAACAUCAGCUGAAGACAAUGGACCCCGUUCAUUAGCAGCAAUCUUCAGCCAAAGUGCCAAGUGGAUGAUCUAUCUUGGCUCAUUUAGUGGUCCCCAGCAUGACAGAUACCAGCCUUCAGCCUGUUUGAUUCAAACUACAUGAUGUAUGACUCUAUAUCAAGAAAUGGUUGGAGGCACUGGAUACUACAAAGGCUAGGGGCCCUGAUAACAUUCCAGCAAAACUAUUGAUGAUUUGUGUUUGAAGUGAUUUUAAGUUCCCCUAGCCAGGCUGUUCCAAUAUGGUUGCAACACUGGCAUCUACCCAACAAUGUGGAAAAUUGCCCAGGUCUGUCCUGUACAUACAAAGCAGGACAAAUCUAACUCAAGCCAGUCAUUGCCCCAUUGGCCUACUCUCUGUCAUCAGUAAAGUGAUGGAAGGUGUCAUCAACAGUGCUAUCAAGCAGCACCUGCUCAGCAAUAACCUACUCAGUGAGUCCCAGUCUAGAUUCUGCCAGGACCACUCAGCUCCUGACCUCAUUACAGCCAACAGAAUUGAAUUCCAGAGAUGAUGUGAAAGUGACAGCCCUUGACAUCAAGACUGCAUUCCAUCACGAGUAGCAUCCAAGGAGCCCUAGUUAAACUAGAAUCAAUUGGUAUUGGGGGCAAACUGUCCAUUGGUUGGAGUCAUACCUGGCACAUAGAUGGUUGUAGUUGUUGGAGCUCAGUCAUCUCAGCAACAGGACAUUUGUGCAGGACUUCCUCAGCCUAAGCCCAGUCAUUACUAACUGCUUCAUCAAUGGCCCAUCCUGCCCCUCAUAAGGUCAGAAGUGGGGAUGUUCGCUGAUGAUAGCACAACAUUCAGCACCAUCUGAAACUCCUCAGACACUGAAGCAGUCCAUGUUCAAAUGCAACAAGAUCUGGACAAUAUCCAGCCUUGGGCUGACAAGUGACAAGUAGCAAUUAUGCCACACAAAAGCCAGGCAAUGACCAUCACCAAUAAGAGAUGAUCUAAUCACUGCCCUUUGACAUUCACUGGUGUUGCCAUCACUGAAUCCCCCACUAUCAACAUCCUUGGGGUUACUAUUGACCAGAAACUCAACUGGACUCACCACACAAACACAGUGGUUACAAGAGCACGUCAGAGGUCAAAAAUACUGCAGCGAGUAACUCACCUCCUGACUCCUCAAAGUCUGUCUAUCAAUGACAAGGCACAAGUAAGGAGAGUGAUGGAAUACUCUCAACUUGCCUGGAUAAGUGUAGCUCUAACAAUACUCAAGAAGUUUGACACCAUCUAAGACAAAGCAGCCCACUUCAUUGGCACCAUAUCUGUAAACAUCCACUCCCUCCACCACUGACACUCCGUAGUACACACUGGUGCUAGCUACAAAAUGCACUGCAGAAAUUCACCAGAAAUCCUUAGAUAACACCUUCUCAAAUCAAUUACCACUUGCAUCUCGAAGGACAAGGACAGAAGACACCUGGAAACACCACCAGCAGCAAGUUCCCCUCAAAGCCACUCACGAUCCUGACUUAGAAAUGUAUUGCCGUUCCUUUACUGUCACUGGAUCAGAAUUCCCUCCCUCAGGGUAUUGCGUGUCACUCUACAGUAUAUUCAAGAAGGCAGCCAACGAUUAUUUCUCGAGGGCAACUAGCAACAGGCAAUAAAUGCUGGCCAGCCAGCAAUGCCUACAUCCCACAAGUGAAUAAAGAAAAAGAAAACUAGCCUUGAGUCUGGUCACAACAACAGAAACUCCAAUGUAUUUAUCCACAAUGCAAAGUAAUGAAAUAACUCCAAAUUAGUCCACAACAGGUUCCUAAAAUAGUAAAACAGCCAUGUAACGAUAUAUCUCUGAAUGAUCUUAUAUAUGGGUGCAUUCUAAACACAGUCUCUCUGUAAAUCUUUCUUCCUCCCCAGCAUCUUCAGCAGCUGAAUGGACCACUUGGCUGCAGCAUCAAAUUCUGGAAGGUGUGUCCCUUUUAAGCAUAAUUUCCGACUCAGUCCCAGCUUUUCACUGCCUUGUUCAGAU
This is a long non-coding RNA of Hemiscyllium ocellatum (epaulette shark), 3242 nucleotides long. RefSeq lists it as uncharacterized. NCBI's taxonomy places the organism in Eukaryota, Metazoa, Chordata, Chondrichthyes, Orectolobiformes, Hemiscylliidae. The transcript is spliced from 3 exons. The record is from RefSeq and is a predicted model, not a curated record.